This is a non-coding RNA of Cricetulus griseus (Chinese hamster), 2256 nucleotides long. Lineage: Eukaryota; Metazoa; Chordata; Mammalia; Rodentia; Cricetidae. The record is from RefSeq and is a predicted model, not a curated record.
GCCAGUUCUCCAGUCCCAGUAGUAUUUAUUCUUUAAAUAUUUCCUUAUUCAGAAAAUGAUUUAGAGACAAAUGGUUAAACUGGUUGUGGUGGCAGGCACCUCUAAAAGCAAUACUUGAAAGGCUGAGACAGGAGAAUCUCAAAUUCAAUGCUAGCCUUGACAUACCAAAAAAACAAAUAUUUAUAUAAAACUACAACAACAAAAACCUACAAGAGAUAAAAACAACAAAAAAGUUAUUUUAAAUGAAAGCAGAUUUGAACUGGAUGAACCCACUAAAUCUGAUGUUAAAAGGUUUGUGGUCAUCUUAUUAAUUCAGAUGCAUAGCCUUUAUUCUGGAGGUUUUCCAAUUUAGCUAGCUCUAACAAGGCCCUUGGAGGCUUGCUUUGCUUCACAGUCACCUCUGAGGCAAGCCCAGGAUGACCUCCCUACCUUCUACAACAAGCCUUUAGGAGAAAGGGGACUACCAGACUAAUUAGGUUGGUCAAUAAGAAAAUACCAAGCACUGUCCACACCCAGGCUCCAAAUGCUGACACCACAGGAACAUAGUGUGUGGGCCUUCCCAGCUGUCCAAGAGUGCCUACCUCAGGCUUUUUAGCUCACACUGAAAGUUAGCUUUGGUUUGCUGUGUUUCAUAUUUUGGCUUACUAUAUACAAGUGUGACACAUUUGUGGCAAAAAGACUGUACCCGAAUGAAGACAUCUGCAGCGAGAACUGGAGACAUGACAGCUGCUGGUCUAACGGGAAUAUGCAAAUCGACCCGCUAGCCUUUUCUGUUUGGAGCAAUUGAAACUUUGAGGCCAGCUUCAAAAGAGGAUUAAAUUUUCCCUACAAAGCAAAAACCCAUGCAUAACUUAGUAGUUGGUAGGAAAUCUGAUAUUUUCUGCCCAGCUCCUGGAACUAUCCCAGACUACACAUGGUUGGUGAACUAGAAUUGAAAGCUCCCCCCAUCUCCUUGCAAAGACAGGGUUUCACUCUGUAACUCAGAACGGUCUUGAACUCACAACAAUCCUCUUGCCUCAGGCUCUAACGCUCCGAUCACAGGUGUAUGCGACCAAGUCCAUCAAGGCUUGUGGCUUUUGACUCAGAUCCAAGAUUGUUUCACUAUACCUCACUCUGCUCCACUCGCAGCAAUGUGUGCGCCCUUUAUCAGUCUUCUUUUGAGCCAGCCACGGUGGUGCAUGCCUAUAAUAAUCCCAGUGGAGGCAGGAGGAUGGUGAGAUUGAGACCUUGGCUGCAAGCAGUACCAUUUGCUUAACUGGACAUUGAAGAAAAGAACAGAGUGCUGGAAAUCCAUCUUAGUUCUUCUGGAACGAUGACCCUCCCCGCUCAUCUGACCUCACAAUUUCAAAGCUUGAUACAACAAGGGAUCAGUUGGAAGAGAAAACCUCAACUGAAGAUUGCAUUGAUUAAAGUGACCUGUGGGCAUGUCUUCUGGGUAUUCUGUUGACUGUUAAUUGAUGCAGGAGGGCUCAGCCCACUGUGGGCAGUACCAUCCCUAGGCAGUCAAGACGUAAGGACUCUCACCUCCAGCCCGGAACCUGCCUGCAGGCCGCCAUGUUCUCUGCCAUGAGGAUAAUGGACUGAACCUCUGAAACUGUAAGUGAGCCACCCCAAUUAAAUGUCUCCUUUACAAGAUUUGUCGUGGUCAUGGUGGCUCCUCAAAGCAAUGAGAACCCUAACUAGGACACCGUGCCCAUCUGCCUGCUGCUUUGUUUUACAUCAUGAUGGUCACAGCCUCUAACCCUCUGGAUCUGUGAGUCGCAAAUGAAAUGCUUUCUUUUAUAAGUUGUCUUGGUCAUGGUGUCUUGUGAUAGCAAUAGAAAAGUAAUUAAGCUAUGGUGAUAAGGAUGCACAAGGAUGCAACAAGAAUGCACAUUUGCAAAGGUUCAAUACUGUGGGCUUCCAAACACACGAUACCAGGAAAGGAACCAUGGAGACAGUAAAAAGAUGGGUGAUUUCCAGGGAUGCAAGGGAGGGGCAGGAGGGGCCGCUGUGUGGAACACAGGAUGUUUUUAGAAAGUUAAAUAAUCCUGUGUUGUUUUGUGCAUGUCAUUGUACACUAACCAGACUGCACACCAAAGAUGAGCCCUGAUGUAAACUUUGGACUUCAGUAAAAAAUGUGUCAAUCCCAGCUUAUCAUUUACAGCAAAUGUGCUAUAUGAUUCUAUGAUUCAGUGAUAACAAGAUAGCAAGAUGAGAGGGAAGAUAAAAGACAGGUAGAAACUCCUUGUACUUCCCACUAACUUUUUUUUUUUU